This 85-nucleotide transfer RNA is filed under the name Dactylellina haptotyla CBS 200.50. It matches the Rfam family "tRNA". From Rfam's summary of the family: Transfer RNA (tRNA) molecules are approximately 80 nucleotides in length. Their secondary structure includes four short double-helical elements and three loops (D, anti-codon, and T loops). The record is from Rfam by way of RNAcentral. Lineage: Eukaryota; Fungi; Ascomycota; Orbiliomycetes; Orbiliales; Orbiliaceae.
GCCCGGUUAGCUCAAUCGGUAGAGCGUCAGACUCUUAGGGCAUCCUGCGAUCUGAAGGCUGCGGGUUCGACCCCCGCAUUGGGCU